RNAcentral lists this unclassified non-coding RNA (211 nucleotides) under plant metagenome. RNAcentral's name for it is "partial contains small subunit ribosomal RNA and internal transcribed spacer 1". The stretch from base 1 to 46 matches the Rfam family "Eukaryotic small subunit ribosomal RNA", at positions 1786 to 1831 of the family's 1831-position model. The record is from RNAcentral.
AAGUCGUAACAAGGUUUCCGUAGGUGAACCUGCGGAAGGAUCAUUACAGAGAACUUGCCCUUCGGGGUAGAUCUCCCACCCUUUGUUUACAUUACCCUUGUUGCUUUGGCAGGCCCGUCUCUCGGGACCGCCGGCUUCGGCUGGCCCGCGCCUGCCAGAGGAUCUCAAACUCUUGUUAAUUGUCGUCUGAGUAAUAUUUAAUAAGUUAAAA